Molecule: transfer RNA, 72 nt
Filed under: Camelus bactrianus (Bactrian camel)
Lineage: Eukaryota; Metazoa; Chordata; Mammalia; Artiodactyla; Camelidae
Also listed under: 2 other names
Rfam family: tRNA
About the family: Transfer RNA (tRNA) molecules are approximately 80 nucleotides in length. Their secondary structure includes four short double-helical elements and three loops (D, anti-codon, and T loops). Further hydrogen bonds mediate the characteristic L-shaped molecular structure. tRNAs have two regions of fundamental functional importance: the anti-codon, which is responsible for specific mRNA codon recognition, and the 3' end, to which the tRNAs corresponding amino acid is attached (by aminoacyl-tRNA synthetases). tRNAs cope with the degeneracy of the genetic code in two manners: having more than one tRNA (with a specific anti-codon) for a particular amino acid; and 'wobble' base-pairing, i.e. permitting non-standard base-pairing at the 3rd anti-codon position.
Source: Rfam by way of RNAcentral
AGGGAAAUAGCUCAGUGGUAGAGCGUGUGCUUAGCAUGCACCCUGUCCUGGGUUCAAUUCCCAGUACCUCUA